UCUAAUUGCUAUUUUGCCUAAUCACGUCAUCGCCUUAAUUACGACGCCGUCGCCUUGCCUGAUCGCAUCGCCAUUAGCUCACCUCCUUGCAGCGGCCGCCAGGAAAAGGGCGAACAACAUCCAUCCGGCCACAGGGACGCCCGGUGGCAGUCAGCAGUCUUCUGCUGUCCGCGCGGCUACAUCACGAAUGGCAGAGAAGCAGAAUGAUGAUCGACUGAUUGGACACUGCUGAGUGAUAGAUAUUAUUCAGCUUCAUGCAUUUGUAAUUUGCAAGUUUCACAUUAUCAUCGAUGUUCUCAUUAUAUUAAAGGGCCCCCGAAUCGCCCCGGGCCCCCAGAAUCUAACCGGCCCUGUGCAUGAUCAGCUAUUUUUAAUGCUCGGGUUUUGAGUACCUGCGGCGGCGGCGUCGACGG
Long non-coding RNA from Triticum aestivum (bread wheat), 413 nucleotides. RefSeq lists it as uncharacterized. The transcript is spliced from 3 exons. The record is from RefSeq and is a predicted model, not a curated record. Lineage: Eukaryota; Viridiplantae; Streptophyta; Magnoliopsida; Poales; Poaceae.